This 480-nucleotide ribosomal RNA is filed under the name uncultured bacterium. RNAcentral describes it as "partial 16S ribosomal RNA". It matches the Rfam family "Bacterial small subunit ribosomal RNA", at positions 28 to 523 of the family's 1533-position model. The record is from RNAcentral.
GAUGAACGCUGGCGGCGUGCCUAAUACAUGCAAGUCGAACGAGGAAGUACCUUCGGGUAUUGUACUAGUGGCGCACGGGAGAGGAACACGUGGGUAAUCUACCUUAAGGAGAGGAACAACCAGUCGAAAGAUUGGCUAAUACCUCAUAUGACCACAGUGACUUAUGUCACAGCGGUAAAAGAUUUAUCGCCUUAAGAUGAGCAUGCGUCCCAUUAGCUAGGUGGUGAGGUAAUGGCUCACCAAGGCGACGAUGGGUAGCUGGUCUGAGAGGAUGAUCAGCCUCACUGGAACUGAGACACGGUCCAGACUCCUACGGGAGGCAGCAGUAGGGAAUAUUGCACAAUGGGCGCAAGCCUGAUGCAGCGACGCCGCGUGAGUGAUGAAGGUCUUCGGAUUGUAAAGCUCCGUUGUUAGGGAAUAAGAAAGUGAAUGUACCUGACGAGAAAGCACCGGCUAACUUCGUGCCAGCAGCCGCGGUAA